GUCCACAAGUCCUGGGUCUGGGCUCUAGCCAGAUGGGGGUGGAGUGGAGGACACAGGGAGUCCCUCAUGCUUGAGUCCCCUGGGGCCACCUUGAGGCAGCCUAUCCCAAUGCACCCCCGCCCCACUAUCCGGGUGGGGCGCAGAAGAGAGGGGAGCCCUUCCCCACUCAAUCUCCAGGAGACUCAGGGCCUGCCAGUUCUCAUCAGCUGGGAGGUGGAAAGGGUGAUAUGGGGAGAGAUGGAAGAGGACCGGGAGGAGAGGUGGAGAGCGGACAGAGGGGCUGGCUGUUGAGAUGGGUGGACAGGAGGAAGGACAUCUGGGAGGACCAGGUCUCUCCGCUCCUCUUGGCCUCAGUUUCCUCCUCCGUCAUGUGUGGAUGAGGACAUCAGACCUCCCGACCUUUCCAGGUUUUGUGGGGAUCAGUGAGAUGAGGCACGGGAAGCCAUCUUGAAUUCCCUCCUCAUCAGUUUGUGUUCUCCCUCCUUUUCUCUCCAGGUACCUUCCUCCUUCCCCUCCCCUUCGCCCCGCUUACUUUCCCCAAUCUCUGAUAGGACUUCAGUCAGAGCUGCAUUGACAGGCAGCCCUAGGCAGCCAGAUAAGGAACCUCGGCAAAAGGUUUUUGAGCAUGAAUGAGCUUAAAGCUUGGCACUAGAGCCCAGUGCUGGCUGGGUCUGGGCACGUGCUGGCUAGGACAGGAAGCCAGGCCUGGAGCAAGCCCUGGUCAAUGCCCAGCUGGCCUCAGGAGGUGAAGGACCUUGUCCCAGGCCGGGCAGAGGUCAGGAGACUCAGCCCCGGGCUAGCUGGGGACAAGGGCUGCCGCUGCACUUAGCACUUUCAGGCUCCAGGGCCCAGGGCGGGUGCUGAGGUGCCUGUCUUGGAGCAGCCAUGCAGCCCCGUCCCCACAGCUGUCUAAUGGCAGGGGGCAGGGAAGUUGCAAUCCUAAUCAUUCACAUUUUCUGACUUGGAGGCCCUCUCCUAGUUAUCAGCACAUUUACUCCUAACUACACACAGGGAGGAGGGAAUUAUUAGCAUCAUCCCCAUUGUAAAAAUGAGGAUCUUGAGGUUAAGCAACUGCUUAGGGUGCAAUACACAUGUCAGUGUUCACAGUCCUUUCACUGGCCUCAUCGGCAGCUCUCAACAGGUACAUUUAUAGGGAAGAAGUCAAGAGAAGGGGAAGCCUGAAAGCCACAGGUCAGACUGGGAAAGGCCAAGAGAGGGUCCCAGUCACUCAAAGGGAGCCAGAAGUCCAAGGAGGGUCCCCUGACCCCGACUUGUACACCGGAGAAGGGCUGCCUCUACUUCAAGGGCACAGGGCAGCUGGUGAGGGCACAGGGCGGCUGCAGGCCGCAGUGUCCACAGUGUCCUUGGUAAAGUCGACUGUAUUCACAUCUGCAUUCUGUGAGUGCGGGUAUAGGUGGGAGUGGAGGAGAGGACUUACUUUCUGGGUUUACGGGCACGGUGUGGUGUCAGCCCAUUUGGAAGCAAAGCCUAGAUAUGGAGGGAGCCAGAUGAACAGGUCCUGGGAAUGCACAGGACCCCCUGAAGCAGGCUGGGGAUCUGAGUGAUCUUGCUGUAUCUGAGCUGACAUUGGAACAUGAACAGUCUGAAAUCCCAUGAGCCCUGCUGCCCUGCACCUGUGACCCUCAGGCUAGACCUUAGACUGUCUACAACACGAGUCAGGCCCAACCCACCCUGGAAAUCGUCGUAGGAGGUUCCAGCUCAGUGCCCAGAGACAGCCCCCGCAUCCCACCCCAUCAGGUAAGCUCAGGCUGGAGCAGGCAUGUGAGCAACACCCCUCAUUCCACCCCCAUACACACACAUAACCCCAUCUGCCUGCGCCCUGCCAGUCUGACCAGCACAGUCCUGGGGACAGGAGCGUGGUGGAGGAGCUGCAGGUGGGGGCCAGAGAAGCCUCCACAGAGAGCAAAAGCCAGGGUCAGCCAGAGACAGGACACCAGAAGAGACAGGAGAUCAGAGACCAGAGGAACAGAGAAGAGGCCCCAGAGCAAAGCAAGGAACAGCCAAGGCACCAGGACAUGGAUGCAGUGGAGCCAGGGGGAAGUGGCUGGGCCGGCGUGUUGGCGUGCAGGCUUUGGAAAGCCAUCAGCAGGGCGCUGUUUGCAGAGUUCCUGGCCACGGGGCUGUAUGUGUUCUUUGGCGUGGGCUCAGUGAUGCGCUGGCCCACAGCACUUCCCUCCGUGCUACAGAUUGCCAUCACCUUCAACCUGGUCACUGCCAUGGCUGUGCAGGUCACCUGGAAGGCCAGCGGGGCCCACGCCAACCCCGCUGUGACGCUGGCCUUCCUCGUAGGCUCCCACAUCUCUCUGCCCCGUGCUGUGGCAUAUGUGGCUGCCCAGCUGGUGGGGGCCACGGUGGGGGCUGCUCUGCUUUAUGGGGUCAUGCCGGGAGACAUCCGAGAGACCCUUGGGAUCAACGUGGCUCCACCCACGUCCUCUGCUCUCCGAUUGUUCCCAAAUUCUUCCCUCCACCUCGAGGCCUGCCUCACUCGCCCCUUCUCCAUUUCCUAACCAUCUGUGUUCCACCUUCUUCCCCCAAAUCUCCUCCUCCUGCACCUGCUGCCAGUCUCCUCUCAAGCAAGCCUCCUGAACCACUGGCCCCAACCAACCCACUGGUGGGGUGGGAGGAGCGCCACUCACUUCUGCAGGGAGCAAGGGUCCAGAGCAGAUAUGGACCCCUCUGCACAGACCUCCCGAAGUCCUGAAGCUGGGUGGCAGUGAGGAGUCACCCCCUUCCAGCUGAGGAGACCAGGCCCAGUGGCAGGGGUUUCUCUGUCUGUCCGUGGGCAGAGCCCGCGUCUAGUCCAGAGUAACUCCCUCUGUCCAGGUCCGGAACAGUGUCUCAACUGGCCAGGCGGUGGCAGUGGAGCUGCUUCUGACUCUGCAGCUGGUGCUCUGUGUCUUCGCUUCCACCGACAGCCGUCAGACAUCGGGCUCCCCGGCCACCAUGAUUGGGAUCUCUGUGGCACUGGGCCACCUCAUUGGGAUCCACUUCACUGGCUGCUCCAUGAACCCAGCCCGCUCCUUCGGCCCUGCCGUCAUCAUUGGGAAGUUCACAGUCCACUGGCUGGACCAAUUUUCAAACUUGGAUAAAGAAAAAGACAAACAGAAAUAGACACACACACCAGCAGAGACAGAAACAGCAAUAGCCAGGACUCAUGGCUAAAACGGGGGAAGUGAGAGGAAAGAGGCGGGGGUGGGUGAGGAGACUGGCCCCAGGCCCCAGCCACAGCUGCAGAGCCUGGGCUCAGCCCCAGGGAGGGCAGGGAGAGCAAGGGGCAAGGUCCCCAUACCUUGUGGGCUUGGAAAAAACGACUUGUGGUUCUCAAAUUUAGCACCUUACAGACAGUUGAGGGAGACCUGGGAGAUCAAGUCGGCACUAGGGAAGGAGGCAGCAGUCCCAGAGCCACCCUGUGGUCCUGGUAGCUCCUGGGUGGGGUGACGACAUCCUUCUCCUCAGGUCUUCUGGGUGGGGCCCCUGAUGGGAGCCCUCCUGGCCUCACUGAUUUACAACUUCGUCCUGUUCCCCGACACCAAGACCCUGGCCCAGCGGCUGGCUAUCCUCACAGGCACCGCAGAGGUGGGGACAGGGGCAGGGGUGGGGGCAGGGGCGGAGCCCCCGAAGAAGGAAUCCCAGCCGGGUUCGGGAGCCAUGGAGAUGGAGAGUGUGUGAAAUAGCCUAGGCCUGGCCGCGCCCUUGGGCUUCCUGCCUUGCAGGGCCUGCCUGGAAGUUCUCCCUGGGGGUGGCGGGAGGGGGAGGCUUGACCUCUUGUCCUGACCAGGUGGGCCAGAGGGGACAAGCCCUAUCCCUGGCAUUACAUUUCUAGGUAGAAUCUGGGAGUGAAUUUGUCCCAUUCUCUCUCUUUAGGGCUUCCCCACCUCUCAGUGGGAUAGAGCAGAGGAAGGCAGGGGAUUUAGGAUCGCCCUCCCCUCCUCUCACCCAUUGGACCCCGUAGGAGUCCUGACCCCCAGAUGCCCAAGUCUUGGGGGAGAAAGGAAUGGGAGCCCAGACGGCCACUCUGCUUAGACGUGGGAGCUAUAGGGACCUCAGGGAGCCCCAACUUCUUACCCACCCAGGAAACCCUUGGUCUGGAGGGGACAGACUAUCUGGAGGAAUCAGGCCCUGGGACAGCCUCUGAGCUCCUGGGGGGGUUUCUCUGCCCUUGGGUGUGGUUUUGGGGGGUAUAUUUCCUCCUUCAGACUAGGGGCUUCCUGAGGACAGAGACUGCUCUACCAAUAGAUCUUUGUUUGUUUGUUUGUUUUGAGACAGAAUCUUGAUCUGUUAUCCAGGCUGGAGUGCAGUGGCAUGAUCUCGGCUCACUGCAACCUCUACCUCCUGGGUUCAAGGGAUUCUCCUGCCUCAGCCUCCCAAGUAGCUGGGAUUACAGGCGCCUGCCACCACGCCCAGCUAAUUUUUUGUAUUUUUAGUAGAGAUGGGGUUUCACCAUAUUGGUCGGGCUGGUCUCAAACUCCUGACCUGAGGUGAUCUGCCCACCUUGGCCUCCCAAAGUGCUGGGAUUACAGGCAUGAGCCACCGCGCCCGGCCUCUCCCAAUAGGUCUUUAUUCCUCACUCCUCCAAAUGCUCUGGAGAGGCCCCCACCCUUGAGAAGAACUGACACAGAGAAGAACAUUUUCUCAGGCUCGUAGAGGGGUGGGAUAGAGGAAGGGAGGUUUGAGCCAGACAGGCCUUUCCCAGGGAAGCCUCCUCCCAGGUGCUUGCCCCAGCUCCCACCCCACAGCCCACUCUCAGGCAGGAACAAUCCUUAGAGGGGAAGUGCCCAUCUAGCCAUUGACUCAUGACCUGGGUCAAAGAAGCCAUCUCCAGGCUCUCUGUCAGCAUUACGGGAUCCCCAAAAAGCUGUUGAAUAAGCCCUAAGGGUGGUAGGAACCCAGGAGGGACCCAGGAAACGAAGAUUUGAGAUUCAGUGCCUCUGAAAGACUACCAAAAUCUAAAUUGGUUUAAUAGUUAAAGGCUGCUGUAGAUUUAUUCUGCCCACAACUUGGGGGUCCUAUCUGGAUCUCGGCUUCUCCAGCUGUAAAAUGGACACACAAUCCUCCUCCAGGGACUGCUGUGAAAUCAAGAAAUUGGAAAAUACUUUCAGAAGUUAAAAUGCUAGAAAAACAACCCCAAUAAAUGAUGAUUAUUGUU
Molecule: small RNA, 5167 nt
Filed under: Pongo abelii (Sumatran orangutan)
Lineage: Eukaryota; Metazoa; Chordata; Mammalia; Primates; Hominidae
Description: retained intron
Source: RNAcentral